This 74-nucleotide transfer RNA is filed under the name Nitrososphaerota archaeon. RNAcentral describes it as "Thaumarchaeota archaeon tRNA-Pro". It matches the Rfam family "tRNA". From Rfam's summary of the family: Transfer RNA (tRNA) molecules are approximately 80 nucleotides in length. Lineage: Archaea; Thermoproteati; Nitrososphaerota. RNAcentral also lists the same sequence under 2 other names. The record is from RNAcentral.
GGGGCCGUCGUCUAGCUUGGUAGGAUACUUGCUUGGGGUGCAAGUGGUCGUGGGUUCGAAUCCCACCGGCCCCA